UUUAAAAAGCUAAAUAAAAAAUUGUGUCGGAUACCCCGAACUCAGAAUCAACGCAUUCAAUACAUACAAAUACAAUCUUAUUCAAUAUCAAACUAAUUAAAUAUGACAACAAAAGAAUCAAUAAUUUAAAAAAUUAACCUCAAAUUAGGACGCACGAGGUUAAGUAGAAAAGUCUGUGAGUUGCAAGAGGAGAGAAGUGUCGUAGUUAGUGGUACGCGCAUGGGAGCGGGUAAGAAGCGUGAUUCGCGCAUCGAUGACGUUAGGGAGGUUGCACGAUGGUAGGGAAACGGGUUUGCGCGGCAAGUCUGGGGGAGGGGGUCCACAUGAAGGUCAAAAGGGGUUUGUGUGGUGGUAGGGAAAAUGAGGUUCGUGCGGGGGUUGGGUGAGGGGGGUUGUUGGCGGUUGGGGGGCUGCUCGUGAAGGUCAGGGGCAUCUCGCGAAGGUUGGAUUGUAGUCUGCGGUUUCUGGCGGCGAAGGGCUCGUGUAGGUCGGGUAAUCGGUCGACAAGCGACUGGGCGCGAUGGUCAGCGAUAUGUGAGAUGGUCAGGCGAUAGUCCGAGUUCUUCUCGCGCGGUCUGAUGACGGUUUGGAUUUUGAUUGUAGAAAAGGAGAAAUGUUUGACAAUCGUUGCAUGAAAGGGAGAAAUUUGGAUUUAAGUUUUCAGAUAUCAGUUUAACGAAGAUUCAAUACAAACGAUUGUUGUUUCCUCUCAUAACAACUUAACGACAGUUCAAAUGUAACUCGUCUUUGUUUUCCGCUUAACCAUUUUGAACAACAGUUCUAUGUUUCUAUGUGUAAUUGUCGUCGUUUUACAAGUUUUUUAACGAUGAUCUAUAGCUUGAUUGUCAUUAUAUCUCAAUUCGUUACAUUGAACAAUGGUUCUUGACAUAAUCAUCC
Molecule: long non-coding RNA, 897 nt
Filed under: Phaseolus vulgaris (common bean)
Lineage: Eukaryota; Viridiplantae; Streptophyta; Magnoliopsida; Fabales; Fabaceae
Description: long non-coding RNA (PVUL_LNC001226)
Source: RNAcentral